CAUCUUUUAUGAUGAGUUCAUUUAUAGUUAUCCCUGUCAGAACAAUACUGUUGAGGAACACGCACUCUGAAAAUAUU
RNAcentral lists this small nucleolar RNA (77 nucleotides) under Penicillium arizonense. RNAcentral's name for it is "Small nucleolar RNA R38". It matches the Rfam family "Small nucleolar RNA R38". From Rfam's summary of the family: snoR38 is a C/D box small nucleolar RNA conserved across yeast, human, Arabidopsis and rice. It is encoded in the intron of elongation factor-1 gamma in both pombe and cerevisiae. snoR38 guides the methylation of 2'-O-ribose sites in 28S rRNA. Lineage: Eukaryota; Fungi; Ascomycota; Eurotiomycetes; Eurotiales; Aspergillaceae. The record is from Rfam by way of RNAcentral.